Molecule: transfer RNA, 66 nt
Filed under: Hespera cyanea
Lineage: Eukaryota; Metazoa; Arthropoda; Insecta; Coleoptera; Chrysomelidae
Description: tRNA-Ala
Source: RNAcentral
AGGAUAAUAGUUAAUACAUAACAUUUAAGUUGCAUUUAAAAAUUUUGAUCAUAUCAAUUAUCUUAA